RNAcentral lists this ribosomal RNA (87 nucleotides) under Salvator merianae (Argentine black and white tegu). Lineage: Eukaryota; Metazoa; Chordata; Lepidosauria; Squamata; Teiidae. The record is from RNAcentral.
AGAGCCUAUGAUACCAAGCAAAGCAAGGUCAGCCCUGGUUAGUAGUUNGAUGGGAGACCACCAGAGAUCACCAAGCCCUAGGCUAGA